GACGAACGCUGGCGGCGUGCUUAACACAUGCAAGUCGAACGGCAAGGCCCUGCUUUUGUGGGGUGCUCGAGUGGCGAACGGGUGAGUAACACGUGAGUAACCUGCCCUUGACUUUGGGAUAACUUCAGGAAACUGGGGCUAAUACCGGAUAGGAGCUCCUGCUGCAUGGUGGGGGUUGGAACGUUUCGGCGGUUGGGGAUGGACUCGCGGCUUAUCAGCUUGUUGGUGGGGUAGUGGCUUACCAAGGGUUUGACGGGUAGCCGGCCUGAGAGGGGGACCGGGGACAAGGCGACUGAGAGACGGAGCAGACGCCUACGGGAGGCAGCAGGGGGGAAUAUUGCACAAUGGGCGGAAGUCUGAUGAAGCAGCGCCGCGGGUGGGAUGACGGCCUUCGGGUUGUAAACAGCUGUCGCCUGUGACGAAGCGUGAGUGACGGUAAUGGGUAAAGAAGCACCGGCUAACUACGUG
This 468-nucleotide ribosomal RNA is filed under the name uncultured bacterium. RNAcentral's name for it is "partial 16S ribosomal RNA". It matches the Rfam family "Bacterial small subunit ribosomal RNA", at positions 28 to 507 of the family's 1533-position model. The record is from RNAcentral.